AUUCUUAUGCUAGGGUUUUGAGCUUCUAACAGUGAGGAGAAAUCCGAGUUGAAGCAUUUGCUAGUUGCAAAAUACAUCCUACACGUUGUGAAUGAUCGUUUAGAUCGUCACACAAUUUCUGGAAACUUGACUACAGC
RNAcentral lists this small nuclear RNA (137 nucleotides) under Kwoniella heveanensis BCC8398. RNAcentral describes it as "U4 spliceosomal RNA". It matches the Rfam family "U4 spliceosomal RNA". From Rfam's summary of the family: U4 small nuclear RNA (U4 snRNA) is a component of the major U2-dependent spliceosome. The record is from Rfam by way of RNAcentral. Lineage: Eukaryota; Fungi; Basidiomycota; Tremellomycetes; Tremellales; Cryptococcaceae.